Hypanus sabinus (Atlantic stingray) is the source of this 888-nucleotide long non-coding RNA. RefSeq lists it as uncharacterized. The record is from RefSeq and is a predicted model, not a curated record. Lineage: Eukaryota; Metazoa; Chordata; Chondrichthyes; Myliobatiformes; Dasyatidae. The transcript has 2 exons.
AUGGAGGUCAGUCUCACAGAUUCUGGGGCCGAGGAUCUCAUCUCCGCUAUCAGUACAACACCAUCACUGACGGAGCUGGACCUGGGAUCGAACUCGCUGACAGACUGAUCUGUCCCCACUUUCCGCCACCUCAUACUGACCCUCCCAAGUCUGGAACGGAUCUGGCUGGGGAGGAAUCAGUUCAGUGACACCGGGAAGAUGGAACUGGGACCUCUGCAGGGAGUCAGAUCCGGACUGAGAGUGACCGUAUGAACAUCUGAAUGUGUGAACAUCCCCGCCCGCGGGAUGGGGACAUGUUGGCCGAUUACCCGCCCUCCCCUUUAACUCCCGCCCUUACCUUUAAUGGCCGCGCGCCGGGGGUAAUUCCCAACGGUUUUAACGUAACCGACUCCAGUCUCGAGCUCAGUGACAUCGGAAGCCGUACCGCAGUGAUGUAUUUACAUCUGUUGCCCUGCGGCGCAGCUUCCGCCGGUUGUGCGUGCACGAUACUUCCAGGUGACACCCUGGGGCAUUACACAGACAGGAAGAGUCUGGGACUCCUGUGUCCCGGGGUGGGAUCGUCCCAGGACAGAAUCCUUUUGCUCCCUUUGCCGAGGACGGUGCAUUCGGCAGCCUGACCUAUAUAAAGAUGUUAAAUUGACAAAUCCCUCGGCAGUGACCCUGGAUCUGCAGCGAUGCCGGACACGGCCCGGAAGUGUGAUCUUAUAAUCAUCGGUUCCCCGAUGCAGAGUGACGGUGAGAAACGGGACUGAUUAUUGUCGCCGGUCAGUUAAUUGUGUGUGACUGUGAGAGAGUCGGGAGCAGCUUAUUUAUUCCCGCACGUCAGCAGCUCACACACUGUUUAAUUUACAUUUGUCAUGAUGAAAUCAAGAAACCGCUCUAACUUCC